Molecule: long non-coding RNA, 235 nt
Organism: Bubalus bubalis (water buffalo)
Lineage: Eukaryota; Metazoa; Chordata; Mammalia; Artiodactyla; Bovidae
Exons: 2
Source: RefSeq, a predicted model, not a curated record
ACCCAGGGAUUGAACCUGAGUCUCCUGCAUUGUAAGCAGACACUUUACCGUCUGAGCCACCAUGGAAGUCCGAGCUACCAGGGAAGUCCGAGCCACCAGCGAAGUCCGAGAUAUGCAAAGCCAGGUUCUUCACAAGGAAACGGAAUCUUAAAGUGGGGGCAUCCUCUUCUUGAUUAAUACCAAUUAAUCAAGGCAAUGAUAAAGGAUGCCACAGGCUGAUUAGGACAUUCACGAA